Molecule: unclassified non-coding RNA, 326 nt
Organism: Mustela putorius furo (domestic ferret)
Lineage: Eukaryota; Metazoa; Chordata; Mammalia; Carnivora; Mustelidae
Gene: 7SK
Rfam family: 7SK RNA
About the family: 7SK was discovered as an abundant small nuclear RNA in the mid-70s but a possible function has only recently been suggested. Two independent studies have found that 7SK RNA binds the CDK9/cyclin T complex (known as elongation factor P-TEFb). P-TEFb activates transcription by phosphorylating the C-terminal domain of RNA polymerase II.
Source: Ensembl
AAAUGUGAGGGUGAUCUGGCCACAUCCUCUUUCAGCUCACUGAUUGCCAGGGAUAAUUUGGCUGAUCUGGCUGCCCCAGAGGGCAUCCCUUUCCUCUUCACCCCUCCAUGUGUGCCUAUCAAAGCUGCAUGCUUAGUAGAACACUAUGAUCUUCCCAGAGGAGGGCUGUUCUUCAGUCAGGAGUGCUAUGUGGAAGCUAGGGUCCCCUGCUAGAAGCUCUGCACAAGCUCUCAAGGUUCAUUUGCUAGAGAACAUAGGGUAGUCAAACUGCCAAGACUCCGGACAUAUCUAAAUGAGGUGCUUUAUGAGGCAAUAUACCUUUCUUA